RNAcentral lists this ribosomal RNA (777 nucleotides) under uncultured organism. RNAcentral describes it as "bacterial SSU rRNA". It matches the Rfam family "Bacterial small subunit ribosomal RNA", at positions 9 to 778 of the family's 1533-position model. The record is from RNAcentral.
GAGUUUGAUCCUGGCUCAGGAUGAACGCUAGCGGCAGGCCUAAUACAUGCAAGUCGAGGGGCAGCACGACUUUUCGGAGUUGGUGGCGACCGGCGCACGGGUGCGUAACGCGUAUGUAACCUACCCACCGCUGGGGGAUAGCCCGGAGAAAUCUGGAUUAAUACCCCAUAAUACAGGGAGCCCACAUGGGCAUAUUGUUAAAGCUUUCGAGCGGCAGUGGAUGGACAUGCGUCUGAUUAGUUUGUUGGUGAGGUAAUGGCUCACCAAGACUACGAUCAGUAGGGGUUCUGAGAGGAUGAUCCCCCACACUGGUACUGAGACACGGACCAGACUCCUACGGGAGGCAGCAGUAGGGAAUAUUGGUCAAUGGUCGAAAGACUGAACCAGCCAUGCCGCGUGCAGGAAGACGGCCUUCUGGGUUGUAAACUGCUUUUCUCAAGGAAGAAAAAUCCCGACGUGUCGGGAGACUGACGGUACUUGAGGAAUAAGCACCGGCUAACUCCGUGCCAGCAGCCGCGGUAAUACGGAGGGUGCAAGCGUUGUCCGGAUUUAUUGGGUUUAAAGGGUGCGUAGGCGGUACUAUAAGUCAGUGGUGAAAUACUGCAGCUCAACUGUAGAGGUGCCAUUGAAACUGUAAUACUUGAGUACAGACGAGGUAGGCGGAAUUUAUGGUGUAGCGGUGAAAUGCAUAGAUACCAUAAAGACACCGAUAGCGAAGGCAGCUUACUAGACUGUAACUGACGCUGAAGCACGAAAAGCGUGGGUAGCAAACAGGAU